RNAcentral lists this ribosomal RNA (497 nucleotides) under uncultured bacterium. RNAcentral's name for it is "partial 16S ribosomal RNA". It matches the Rfam family "Bacterial small subunit ribosomal RNA", at positions 28 to 507 of the family's 1533-position model. The record is from RNAcentral.
GAUGAACGCUGGCGGCGUGCCUAAUACAUGCAAGUCGAGCGAACAGACGAGGAGCUUGCUCCUCUGACGUUAGCGGCGGACGGGUGAGUAACACGUGGAUAACCUACCUAUAAGACUGGGAUAACUUCGGGAAACCGGAGCUAAUACCGGAUAAUAUAUUGAACCGCAUGGUUCAAUAGUGAAAGACGGUUUUGCUGUCACUUAUAGAUGGAUCCGCGCCGCAUUAGCUAGUUGGUAAGGUAACGGCUUACCAAGGCGACGAUGCGUAGCCGACCUGAGAGGGUGAGCGGCCACACUGGAACUGUGACACGGUCCAGACUCCUACGGGAGGCAGCAGUAGGGAAUCUUCCGCAAUGAGCGAAAGCCGGACGGAGCAACGCCGCGUGAGGGAUGAAGGUCUUCGGAUCGUAAAACUCUGUUAUUAGGGAAGAACAAAUGUGUAAGUAACUAUGCACGUCUUGACGGUACCUAAUCAGAAAGCCACGGCUAACUACGUG